This is a long non-coding RNA of Carassius carassius (crucian carp), 1331 nucleotides long. RefSeq lists it as uncharacterized. The record is from RefSeq and is a predicted model, not a curated record. The transcript has 3 exons. Lineage: Eukaryota; Metazoa; Chordata; Actinopteri; Cypriniformes; Cyprinidae.
AAUAUUAUAUUAUGUGCGAGUACCCUGUACACAUUUUAUAUACUAUAUGAUUUAAACUAGGGCCUACACUACAAGUGCACAUUCAAUACAAGUAAUGUCCUUAUUUUUCACAAGGAAAACUUAUACUGGAACAACAGUGUGGGCUGUGAGAUGAGAACAGAGACACUUUGAGCUUUAACCACUAACCAUCGACCAACUGCUGACUGAUGAGGAAACAUCAUUAGCUUGUGAGAGACGAAGACAAACUGAACCACAGUGAUCUGAACUGAAGACAGCGACUGUAACACAUUUCAGUUUCAUUCAGCAACAUGAACAGUGAAAAUCAGACCUUGAUGGAAAUCAGAAGGAUUAUCUUCCUCAUCGCUAGUGUUUGUGUCGGUCUGCCAGCUCUGGUUUGGGCUUUUCGUCUUCUGCACCUUCACAGAAAGAUCAGAGGCCGAAUCUCAGUCUUCAUCCUCCUCCUCCUCCUCAAUGACCUGAUACAAUUGCCUCUUUAUCUAUAUAUAAUGACAAACAUACUGACAGAAUACAGAUACUAUAUCGAUGCGCUUUUCCAGUUUUGGUUGGGAUUACAUUGGUGUGGUUUUCAUCUGCAUCAGCUGGUGGCUCUGGAGGGGAUUUUGACUCUGAAAUAUCCGCUUUGUUCUGCUCGUGUUUUCUCACUGCCCUGUUACAUCUUAAUCUCCAUCCUUGUGCUUUUUUUUCCUAUAGUGAGUGCAUUAUUUCUUUUCCCGCAUUCACAAACUACAAACAUGUCAUUAUUCAGUCUCAGCACAAGUGUUGUUCCUCUGAUCUUAUUGGCUGUAUCAUCUACAAUCAGCUGUAAAGCCUCUUCCACUCCUGUCAGAAAAAACAGUUCAGUGCUCACUGUUGCUAUUCUUACAUUUGUUAUGAUGUACUUACCUUUCAUGUUGAUCAUCUGGGUGGAUUUAUUUCAUUUAUAUCCAUAUGUCAGCCCGUCUUGGUUCAUAAUAUCUUUCUGUUUGAGGAUUUUGAGAGUGAUUUCAGAUCCUAUUCUGUGUGUUUUGGUCUGCAGAGAAAAUCUCAGAGAUGUUCAGACGCCACAAACACACACAGAACCCAACGCUGAUGAGACGUCAGUCUGAGCUUGAGAUUCAUUAGUCCUCACGUCUGAAUCUGGCUUCAAAGCAAAACAUAAAAUGACCUGUAAAAUGAAAAAUAAUAAAAUAAAUAAUAUAUGACUUAAAGAUUAAUUUGAAAGGUCUGUGAUUGCUAAAAGUGAAAGUGUGCUCUCUAUGACACAAACAGCACAAAUUGAGUUUCCAUCUCUUUAAUGGUCAUUUUGACAGUUUGUUUAAUAUUGUAAUAUA